AACUUUUAAUAACAGAUCUCUUAAUUUUAGUAUCGAUAAAGAAUGUAACGAAAUACAAUAAGUAAUAUAAAUUGUAGAAUUUAGUAAAUUAUCGAAUCUUUAAAUAUAUAUUACGCUUGCUAAUAUUCUAAUAAAUAUAUUUAUUUAAGUAUUA
Molecule: ribosomal RNA, 154 nt
Filed under: Neurospora crassa OR74A
Lineage: Eukaryota; Fungi; Ascomycota; Sordariomycetes; Sordariales; Sordariaceae
Description: Neurospora crassa rRNA NCU17402
Rfam family: 5.8S ribosomal RNA
About the family: 5.8S ribosomal RNA (5.8S rRNA) is a component of the large subunit of the eukaryotic ribosome.
Source: Rfam by way of RNAcentral